AACUUUAUAGUAUAGUAUAUAGUAUAUCGAUUACUACGUUAAAGGCGUAGGUUCGAUUCCUAUUAAAGUUC
Molecule: transfer RNA, 71 nt
Filed under: Podospora anserina S mat+
Lineage: Eukaryota; Fungi; Ascomycota; Sordariomycetes; Sordariales; Podosporaceae
Rfam family: tRNA
About the family: Transfer RNA (tRNA) molecules are approximately 80 nucleotides in length.
Source: Rfam by way of RNAcentral